UUAAAUUGACUAAAAAUUUAAAUUUUAAUUCAAAACUUCAUGAACUGUUGUAGGCUAUUAUUUAUUAUAUUAUCAAUAUGUUUUCGCUUAAAGUAAUGUAACAUAAGCAUAGGCGUAAGCAGGGGGGGUUUUGGGGGUUAUAACCCCCCCCCCCCAUUGGGAUGUACUUUGAGCUCUAUACGCUUAACACCAUAGCCCUCAGAUACCUUCCAGUACUUGUAACCCCCCUUUCAGGAGUUGUAACCCCCCCUUAGGCUCAUCCUGGUUACGCCUAUGAACAUAAGUACAUAGUUAUGAUAGUUUAUGUAAGUAAGUACAUUUUGUCAUGAAUGUAACAUAGGUAUUCACAAAUUGUGAAUCACAAUAUUACAUGUAAAGUAGUAGUCAGUAAAAUAAUUAAUGUUUCAAAAAUACCUCCUUUAUUGUUAUUGUUUUUUGAACCCAGGCCUAAUACAUUUUAAAGUAGUAGUUGUAGUAAUUUGCCUACAACUAUUUAAAAAUUGUUACAUUACAGUCCCACUGCAUAGUGAAUGUGAAUUGUGGUUGCAAUUAAUGGGAGUCUCGUUUUGUGUGGGAAGGGGUGGGGGGCGGGAGCAUUGAAUUUCGCCAAGGGCGCAGGAAUGGCAAGAUACGUCCCUGCAAGUAGCAAGGGCUUUCUUGAGAAGCUUAUACAUGUAACUUGUAUUGUUGUAAAUUGUGGGAGUAGGGCAGACAGGGAAAAGUCUUAUUUUGUACUGUUCCCAAGGCUCCCCAUUCAAUACAUUUAAAUGAAUUAUCCAAACAAAGCCGGGGACAAUGGAUAAAAGCCACAAGAAGAACAGAUAUAAGGGAACUAAAAUUAAAAUAUGAAAAGUAAACAUUUUAUAAGUGGAACAACCACCAGAUAUUUAAAAGGUAUAAAAAGAAGAAACUGCUGGAACUUCAAAACAAAUGUGUUUGACUAGUAAAGAUUUGGAUAAAUAACAGGAGUUACUUUGGGCUAUAGCUACGUGCAGAUUUAUUUCCUUGUGGCUUCCUAUGUUAAUUCUUAUUAAUUAUACACUUAAAUAUGUUUUUAGUCUCAGGAAGAUUUUUUAUUUGAUUAUUUUUGAAUAAACAUUAUUAUUAUUAUUAUCUUAAUUUCCAUUAAAUAAAUUAACUGUAAUCAAUAAAGUAAUCGUUUAAAUGUUAAUAAAUUAUCAAGUAUGA
Diabrotica virgifera virgifera (western corn rootworm) is the source of this 1188-nucleotide long non-coding RNA. RefSeq lists it as uncharacterized. NCBI's taxonomy places the organism in Eukaryota, Metazoa, Arthropoda, Insecta, Coleoptera, Chrysomelidae. The record is from RefSeq and is a predicted model, not a curated record. The transcript has 2 exons.